Molecule: ribosomal RNA, 539 nt
Filed under: uncultured bacterium
Lineage: Bacteria
Description: bacterial SSU rRNA
Rfam family: Bacterial small subunit ribosomal RNA
Source: RNAcentral
GAGGAAUAUUGGUCAAUGGGCGAGAGCCCGAACCAGCCAAGUAGCGUGCAGGAUGACGGCCCUAUGGGUUGUAAACUGCUUUUGUAUGGGGAUAAAGUCAGUCACGUGUGAUUGUUUGCAGGUACCAUACGAAUAAGGACCGGCUAAUUCCGUGCCAGCAGCCGCGGUAAUACGGAAGGUCCGGGCGUUAUCCGGAUUUAUUGGGUUUAAAGGGAGCGUAGGCUGGAGAUUAAGUGUGUUGUGAAAUGUAGACGCUCAACGUCUGACUUGCAGCGCAUACUGGUUUCCUUGAGUACGCACAACGUUGGCGGAAUUCGUCGUGUAGCGGUGAAAUGCUUAGAUAUGACGAAGAACUCCGAUUGCGAAGGCAGCUGACGGGAGCGCAACUGACGCUGAAGCUCGAAGGUGCGGGUAUCGAACAGGAUUAGAUACCCUGGUAGUCCGCACAGUAAACGAUGGAUGCCCGCUGUUGGUACCUGGUAUCAGCGGCUAAGCGAAAGCAUUAAGCAUCCCACCUGGGGAGUACGCCGGCAACGGUG